RNAcentral lists this long non-coding RNA (768 nucleotides) under Lactuca sativa (garden lettuce). RNAcentral's name for it is "long non-coding RNA (LSAT_LNC006296)". The record is from RNAcentral. Lineage: Eukaryota; Viridiplantae; Streptophyta; Magnoliopsida; Asterales; Asteraceae.
AGUACAUCACAGCCAUCCAAAAUGAGGAUGGAUACAACUGGGGGUAAUUCUAAUUCAUGCUCUUUAAUUCUUGAUUCUAAAAUUUGAUUUGUUCUAAGAAUUAAAAAUUUACUCUUUUUUUUCAAUAAAAAGUUAUAAUCCUGUGUUAUGGGGAGUCCCUAAAGGAAGCUAUUCAACUAACCCUAAUGGUUCAUGUCGUAUAAUAGAGCCUCGCCUUAUUGUUCAUAUUAACUUUUGUUUUCAAUAAAAAAUUAAAUCAAACAUGGUUCUGUAACUUUUGUUCAUAUUAACUUUCUUUUUAACUAUGAUUACAACAUGGAUGCACUAUGUGGUCCUGAUGGUGAACUUCCAGAGAAGUUAAGGAAUUUAGAGCCUCGCCUUAUUGAGCACAUUAGUAAUGAGCCUCGUCUUAUUCAGAAGCCUUAUGCUACAAGUAUUUUACAAGAGCAAUGGCCAUUUAUGUAAUUUUAUCAGUGCCUAAAUCUUGUAUCAAAAUGCAGAUUGUACAAUUGACAGCAUCCGGAAAAUUUGAGGAAGCUUUGGCAUUGUUUAAGCUACUUGCACCAGAAGAUUCAAACCUUCGAGCCUCAAAGUAGCAGUCAAUUCAUAUCAGGUAAUAUUUAUGGACCUCAGAAGUUUUUUGGAUAUGAGUGGUAAAGUUUACUUAUCAAGAGCUUCAUCUGGUAUGUCAGAUGAUAUGGACACUUCUUCACCUUCUCAUACAGUGAAAAGGUUAUAUCAGAUGCUGUUGGACACACCCAUGAAAGC